UAGCGCAGUUUGCCUGGCGGCACUAGUCCCACCUGACCCCAUGCCGAACUCAGAAGUGAAACGCCGUAGCGCCGAUGGUAGUGUGGGGUCUCCCCAUGUGAGAGUAGGGAACUGUACCCC
Molecule: ribosomal RNA, 120 nt
Filed under: Klebsiella pneumoniae
Lineage: Bacteria; Pseudomonadati; Pseudomonadota; Gammaproteobacteria; Enterobacterales; Enterobacteriaceae
Source: RNAcentral